GAAGCACUCUCUCAGGCGCCAAACCAGAUUCCUUGCCUUAGGCGUGGGUGAGGAAGGCUUUUUGUGAGGUCUGGAAGCACAGAGGGAAAUGCAGGAAGGGCAUGCUGUUCCAUGAGUUGAGGACUAAUGAUUCAGAGGCGGCACAAACGUUCCGGCCCACUUCUGCCCCUCUUCAUUAAGUCAGGAGGCGAAUUCAGUCACGGAUAAUCGUACCUGUUAUCCUUUAUUCUUUCCCUCUCCCAGCCUUCGUGUCUGACAAAUUCACUCUUUCACUGAAAAAUUAGUGAGCACGAUCACCGUAUGGGACGUGUAGCAGUCGAGGAGACAGUCCCUGCCUUCAUGCAGCUGCAAGUCUGGGUGGGCAGGAGACGCACUGAGCAAGCGCCAUUGGAGUAUUGAGUGUUUUGGAAGGGGCAGUAGGGGGCGCUGUGGGAGCACACGCACAGAAAGAACCAACUGGAUCUGAAGGCCCCGGUGAGGACGUGGAGAGCGGAAGGAUGAAGAGGAGUGGGCGGGAGAGAGUUCCAGGCAAAGAGAACCAUGAUGUAAAAGCCUGGUGAGCCUGGACUGUGGGGUGACGGGGACAGAAGCAGGGGCUGAGGCAGCAAGCAGAAGCCUGCUGGGAAGAGCUUUCUAGAAGAGGGUAAGGAUUUUAGACUCUUCCCAAAGGACAGUGGGAAACUACAGAAGGAUUUAAGCCGGCUGAUGACUACCUGGUCACCCCGAUGGUUGGGCGGAUGAUGAAUUAACUGUCGAGCAGGACUUGGAAGGCCGCUGUCGUGGUAACUCAGAUACCCAAUUGAUAGCAAGCUUGGCCAUAGGACUCGCUUUAGCCAAUGAAACGUGAAGACGAGUGAUGCGCAUCUCUUCUGAGCCGAAGCUUCAAGAGCCGGCUCGUGGCCGCCACGUCUCUUCUCCCUUCGCCAGAGACCGGCAGUGUUUCGGAGGCUGCCCCGUGAGCGAAGAGCCUGGGUCCAUGAAAGAAGACGUGGAGCAGAGCCCAGCCUGCCCACGUCGGCCACGGGGCAAAGUUGAUGGCGUCCUUCUAAUAGAAUGUGACUUCCAUGCUGCAAGAAUCUGGGCUGAGUUGUUAGUCAUUCUACCCUGAAGCCAAGCCCGGGGCCCGACUAUCUGUGAGAAGAACGAAUGAAGGAAACUUAUGGAUCCGUCCUGUUCAUCAUGAUCUCUUCCAUUAGCAGAGGGUGCCUCUCAGAAGUCUGUAAACCGAGGUUUGACUCUUGACUCAUAUUUUACCAUCUUAGUGACUUUGGGCAAGUUACUCAAUCUCUCUGACCUUGGUUUACUUAGCUUUAAAAUGGGGUAAUAAGGGAGCUGGCCCUGUGGCCUCAUGGUUAAGUUUGGC
Molecule: long non-coding RNA, 1363 nt
Organism: Equus quagga
Lineage: Eukaryota; Metazoa; Chordata; Mammalia; Perissodactyla; Equidae
Exons: 3
Source: RefSeq, a predicted model, not a curated record